GGUAUCUUGGCCGAGCGGUCUAAGGCGCCGCACUCAAGUUGCGGUCUCGAAAGAGGCGUGUGUUCGAAUCUCACAGAUAUCA
RNAcentral lists this transfer RNA (82 nucleotides) under Smittium megazygosporum. It matches the Rfam family "tRNA". From Rfam's summary of the family: Transfer RNA (tRNA) molecules are approximately 80 nucleotides in length. The record is from Rfam by way of RNAcentral. Lineage: Eukaryota; Fungi; Kickxellomycota; Harpellomycetes; Harpellales; Legeriomycetaceae.